This is a non-coding RNA of Danio rerio (zebrafish), 1587 nucleotides long. Lineage: Eukaryota; Metazoa; Chordata; Actinopteri; Cypriniformes; Danionidae. The record is from RefSeq and is a predicted model, not a curated record.
ACAGUAUUUGUAAAGGGUUUACACAUAUUCAAUGUCGAUAAUGGGGCCUAUACUGUCGUAUGCCAAAAUGGACACUUGAUAAAUAAAACGUCUGGGUGUUUAACGUCUUUUUAUGGUCUCACUGCUCUUUUCCGCUCUGAGUGUUUUCUCACAGUUGUGGGUUCUUCAGCUUCAUCUCUGGCCUGCUUAAUGUCUGAGGUCUGUGUAUAAAGUCACGCAUUGUGGAAAAAAACAUCAAGGCUCAUGUCUUUGUCUUCACAUUUCUGCUGGUUUGCUCUUUUAUUUCGCUCAACUUGGUCAGAAUUAUUUCACUGCAUAUCAAUUUAAAACAGCCACAGAAUGAGGAAAGUGCAGCUUUCACUCUGUAAGUUACUAUAAUUUGUUUUUGUUUAAUUGUAUUGAUUUUGUCAUGACUGGAUUGUUUUACAAAGUGAAUUUGUGCAAUGUUAUUUUUAUCAUAUUCUUAAUCUGUGUUUCUUUGCAGAUCUGCUGCUGUGGACUCAAACUGUAGAGAGUUUAAUUGAUAAACGGGUGAAAUUAGGAGAAAAUGUGACUUUAGACUGUCAAAUUGGUGUAAAAGAGAUGUAUUGGGUUUUCCAGAAACUGAUAGAUUCUCCAGUGCUGAUACUGAGAACUUACUCAUCAGAAUCUACAGCAUCUUUUAUACCAGAGGACAGACUCAGAGACAAAUAUUCAUCACUCACUUUGAGCCGUUUGUUUAUUAGUAGCAUAACUAUUGAUGAAUUAGGAAUAUAUUACUGUAUAAAAAGAGACCAUAGAUCUAUACAGAUCACCAACGGCACCAGACUCUACAUCACUGGUAAGAUUUUUUUUUAAACCAUAUCAACAGUGUUAUAUAUCAUAUACAUAUUGUUAGAAUUAUGUUUGUUAUAGCAAAUAAUAUUUUUAAGACUUUAACAAUUACAAUUUCACAAUUAUUGAUUUUUUUUCUUUAAAAGAGUAAUUUGUAUUUCUUCUCUUCAAAUAGAAACCGAGUGCAACAAGCAACAAGCACAAGUUGAUAAAUCCCUCGAGAUUCAGAAGAUUCUGACUGCUGCAUCCUUUCUCAUAAACAUUGUGCUGAUUAUUGCAAUAAUAGGUUUGGUAAUGUUCAAGCUUCAGAAGCCCACAAAAAGUCGACAACAAUGCCAGAAUGUUGAACCUGUUGCUAGCACAGAUGCUCAAGAGUUUUCUGAAGUGGAGUUUCAUCUGCACAACCCGACCAGAAACACAUUUGGGAAGAAACAAAACAAGCAUGAUCGAGAUUAAAUUCUUUCACAAUGAACUAAAGGUUUUCUGCUAAAUAUUGAUGAGUCUGUUAUGUUUUUUUUUUAAAUAUGUCAUAUAUUGUUAAGCUAAACAUGUACGUAAUGCAAAUUCUUAGCUUCUCUUUGUUCUACUUUAUUCUUGAUUUUUUUAAAGUGGUCUUCUACUUAAAAAAUACUAUUGUAAUUUAAAUUAAAUAGAAUAGUGUUUUAUAGUAAACUACUUGAAGUAAUCUGUUGUGGUAUUUGUAAAGUUGGUUAUAAUGGACCUGAAAAUGAGUUUAAAAAAAAAAACUGCUUUUAUUCUAGCCGAAAUAAAACA